UAGGGAAUAUUGCUAAAUGGGCGAAAGCCUGAAGCAGCAACGCCGCGUGAACGAAGAAGGCCUUCGGGUCGUAAAGUUCUUUUACGUGGGAAGAGGAAGGACAGUACCACGGGAAUAAGUCUCGGCUAACUACGUGCCAGCAGCCGCGGUAAAACGUAGGAGACGAGCGUUAUCCGGAUUUACUGGGCGUAAAGAGCGUGUAGGAGGCAAAACAAGACGGAUGUGAAAGCCCCCGGCUUAACCGGGGGAGGUCGUACGUGACUGUAGAGCUAGAGUGAGUUAGAGGUAAGCGGAACUCCGGGAGUAGUGGUGAAAUGCGUAGAUAUCCGGAAGAACAUCAGAGGCGAAAGCGGCUUACUGGGACUUAACUGACACUGAGACGCGAAAGCCAGGGUAGCAAACGGGAUUAGAGACCCCGGUAGUCCUGGCUGUAAACGAUGUAGACUGGACGUUUUCGGGGUAAAAGCUGAGAGUGUCGAAGCGAACGCGAUAAGUCUACCGCCUGGGGAGUACGGUCGCAAGAUUA
This 526-nucleotide ribosomal RNA is filed under the name uncultured bacterium. Its description in RNAcentral is "bacterial SSU rRNA". It matches the Rfam family "Bacterial small subunit ribosomal RNA", at positions 355 to 896 of the family's 1533-position model. The record is from RNAcentral.